Molecule: unclassified non-coding RNA, 605 nt
Filed under: Hevea brasiliensis (rubber tree)
Lineage: Eukaryota; Viridiplantae; Streptophyta; Magnoliopsida; Malpighiales; Euphorbiaceae
Source: RNAcentral
AUAUGACAUCAACUGAUAAUGAGAUCAUUGACCAUAUGAGCCAAACCAAAAAAUUGCCCUAUUUGAUAAACAUGGCAAAUCCUCAACCUCACAAAAACAGAACGUACACAAACUGAAUUAGUUUUACUCUCAUUUGAUUAAUCGUUUAAAGGUACAGCUUAUGCAUAUCAAAAACAUUUUGGAGGAUUUGAUUCCCAAAGCCCCAGAUUAGUCAAAAUUCGAAAUUUUUAUUUCUUUUCCAACCUUCUUCUUCCUUGUGAAAAGAAUCAAAGCUUUAGUAAAGAUCCUUCGGGAAAAUGGUAAAAUCAUAAGAUAUUAGAAAGAUUUUGGGUGAAAGAACCAGAACAAUGAAUACAUGCUACCUCUACUUUAGAUAAUAUCAAGGGGCAAAAAUCAAAAUUAACAAUUCUGUACUUGGUUGUCAAAAACCUAAGGAGAACAAACCUCAAAUCUCCUAUUCUAUCCGCAGAAAAUGAAAGUUUUUUUCUUCUCAUCUGCUAAUCAGAGAGAAACCAAAGAUUCAAAUAUAUACUACAUAUCAUUUUACUGCUUUUAUUUCAGCAACCAAAUAAAGCAUUGAGAAACAAUAUUAACGAGCAUUUGCA